ACAGUCACAGGCAUGGUCAUAACUGACAAACUCAUGUCCAGGACUGAAUUUCAGAACUCCUCUUCCAGACAAACAAGAAUCUGUAGACCUUCAGACACCCGUCAGGAGUACUUUGAUGCUGGCCACCAGUCAUGGAGUUGAGAAGGAAUAGGACCGAAAAUGAGGAUCAAGCAGUUUAUGUGAGACAGCCACUAUAACAGGGACUGUAUCUCACUGAACAGUUUCUGAAACCCAAUCUUCAUGAGCUCUAACACAGAGAUUCAGCUUCCCAAGAGAGCUCAGAAGAUGGUCCCAGAGCAUCUGGGGUCUUCUAUGGUUCUAGAAACAGAAACCGUUGUCAGAAACCUGAAGAAGGUGCUAAAAGGAUCCGAGGAUUGGAGGAUGCUGCUGCUGGUGCCACCCCAGAUGCCCUGCAGAACUGAUGGGCACUUCGGCGUAUCACCCACUCACAUCCAACUUUUAACUCACCCUAAUGCAGAGGACAGUUUCCCCUUAUAUUAACCACUCAUUUAAAGCUGUCCUCAUGACAUUGUGUCUCUGUGUGUGCAUGUCAUGGGGUGUAGGGUAUGUUUGUAUGUCUAGAGGCCAAAGAUGACAUCAGAUUUGUUAACUCUGAGAAUUGUGAGGAGAAAGAUAAAACCCACAAUCAUUUAUUU
Molecule: long non-coding RNA, 656 nt
Filed under: Rattus norvegicus (Norway rat)
Lineage: Eukaryota; Metazoa; Chordata; Mammalia; Rodentia; Muridae
Description: long non-coding RNA NONRATT000101
Source: RNAcentral